This 58-nucleotide microRNA precursor is filed under the name Callorhinchus milii (elephant shark). RNAcentral's name for it is "Cmi-Novel-23_pre stem-loop". Lineage: Eukaryota; Metazoa; Chordata; Chondrichthyes; Chimaeriformes; Callorhinchidae. The record is from RNAcentral.
UGGUCACAGGUCAAAGCGCAUUGAGUGAAAAGAAAUGUUGUCUUGACCUGUCACUGCA